AGAGUUUGAUCCUGGCUCAGGAUGAACGCUAGCUACAGGCUUAACACAUGCAAGUCGAGGGGCAUCGAGAAGAAAGCUUGCUUUCUUUGUCGGCGACCGGCGCACGGGUGAGUAACGCGUAUCCAACCUACCCUUUACACUGGGAUAGCCCGUUGAAAAGCGGAUUACUACCAGAUGCAGUCCUUUGCGGACAUCUAAGUAGGACGAAAGGUUUUUCCGGUAGAGGAUGGGGAUGCGUCCGAUUAGCUUGUUGGCGGGGUAACGGCCCACCAAGGCGACGAUCGGUAGGGGUUCUGAGAGGAAGGUCCCCCACACUGGUACUGAGACACGGACCAGACUCCUACGGGAGGCAGCAGUGAGGAAUAUUGGUCAAUGGGCGGAAGCCUGAACCAGCCAAGUAGCGUGCAGGAUGACGGCCCUAUGGGUUGUAAACUGCUUUUAUAGGGGAAUAAAGUUCGGGACGUGUCCCGUUUUGUAUGUACCCUAUGAAUAAGGACCGGCUAAUUCCGUGCCAGCAGCCGCGGUAAUACGGAAGGUCCGGGCGUUAUCCGGAUUUAUUGGGUUUAAAGGGAGCGUAGGCCGACUUUUAAGCGUGUUGUGAAAUGUGGUGGCUCAACCUCUGCACUGCAGCGCGAACUGGGAGUCUUGAGUGCGCAGUAAGCCGGCGGAAUUCGUUGUGUAGCGGUGAAAUGCUUAGAUAUGACGAAGAACUCCGAUUGCGAAGGCAGCUGGCUGUAGCGUUACUGACGCUGAAGCUCGAAAGCGUGGGGAUCAAACAGGAUUAGAUACCCUGGUAGUCCACGCAGUAAACGAUGAUAACUUGUUGUCGGCGAUAGAGUGUCGGUGACAAAGCGAAAGCGAUAAGUUAUCCACCUGGGGAGUACGAUCGCAAGGUUGAAACUCAAAGGAAUUGACGGGGGCCCGCACAAGCGGAGGAGCAUGUGGUUUAAUUCGAUGAUACGCGAGGAACCUUACCUGGACUCAAAUGUUGAACGACCGGUCUAGAAAUAGACCUUCCCUUCGGGGCGUUUAGCAAGGUGCUGCAUGGUUGUCGUCAGCUCGUGCCGUGAGGUGUCAGGUUAAGUCCUAUAACGAGCGCAACCCCUACGUCCAGUUGCCAGCGGGUAAAGCCGGGGACUCUGGAGGGACUGCCGGCGCAAGCCGAGAGGAAGGUGGGGAUGACGUCAAAUCAGCACGGCCCUUACGUCCAGGGCGACACGCGUGCUACAAUGGCCGGUACAGAGGGCAGCCACCUGGUGACAGGGAGCGAAUCUCGAAAGCCGGUCUCAGUUCGGAUCGGAGUCUGCAACUCGACUCCGUGAAGUUGGAUUCGCUAGUAAUCGCGCAUCAGCCAUGGCGCGGUGAAUACGUUCCCGGGCCUUGCACACACCGCCCGUCAAG
RNAcentral lists this ribosomal RNA (1401 nucleotides) under uncultured bacterium. RNAcentral's name for it is "bacterial SSU rRNA". It matches the Rfam family "Bacterial small subunit ribosomal RNA". The record is from RNAcentral.